Molecule: small nuclear RNA, 107 nt
Organism: Grammomys surdaster
Lineage: Eukaryota; Metazoa; Chordata; Mammalia; Rodentia; Muridae
Source: RefSeq, a predicted model, not a curated record
GUGCUCGCUUCAGCAGUACAUAUACUAAAAUUGAAACGACACAGAGAAGAUUAGCACAGCAACUGCACAAGGAUGACACGCAAACUUGUGAAGCAUUCCUUAUUUGU